RNAcentral lists this transfer RNA (83 nucleotides) under Thermococci archaeon. RNAcentral describes it as "tRNA-Ser". It matches the Rfam family "tRNA". From Rfam's summary of the family: Transfer RNA (tRNA) molecules are approximately 80 nucleotides in length. Their secondary structure includes four short double-helical elements and three loops (D, anti-codon, and T loops). Further hydrogen bonds mediate the characteristic L-shaped molecular structure. tRNAs have two regions of fundamental functional importance: the anti-codon, which is responsible for specific mRNA codon recognition, and the 3' end, to which the tRNAs corresponding amino acid is attached (by aminoacyl-tRNA synthetases). tRNAs cope with the degeneracy of the genetic code in two manners: having more than one tRNA (with a specific anti-codon) for a particular amino acid; and 'wobble' base-pairing, i.e. permitting non-standard base-pairing at the 3rd anti-codon position. Lineage: Archaea; Methanobacteriati; Methanobacteriota; Thermococci. The record is from RNAcentral.
GCCGGGGUUGCCGAGCUGGAACGGCGCUGGCCUGGAGAGCCAGUGGCGAUUACGCCUCGCGGGUUCGAGUCCCGCCCCCGGCA